Molecule: long non-coding RNA, 321 nt
Filed under: Sus scrofa (pig)
Lineage: Eukaryota; Metazoa; Chordata; Mammalia; Artiodactyla; Suidae
Description: lncRNA (ENSSSCG00050041663.1)
Source: RNAcentral
CUGCAUAAUAGGUCAAAGGAGAUCUCUUCAGCUACCUCCGGGUUUCAACCCUGAGAAAGCAGGAUGAGCUCCUUCCCUGACCCACACGCCAGCCCCUUACUCUGAGGCGCCUUCCUUCCCUCUGCCGCAGCAACGCUGCUCUCGUCUCUGGCCUGACAGUUUCCGCUAUGAUAACCACAAAUUUGACUUUGAAAUCUGAAGCACUAACUGUUUGGUAUGUGGCAUCUCAUUUAAUCCUUUAAUAAAAUAUAUCUAGUAUUAUUGGGAUUUGGGUCCACCUGCCUGCCAUGCAACAAAGCCAUUUACUAACACCAUAUUGUG